Pelobates cultripes (western spadefoot toad) is the source of this 254-nucleotide non-coding RNA. NCBI's taxonomy places the organism in Eukaryota, Metazoa, Chordata, Amphibia, Anura, Pelobatidae. The record is from the annotation of a GenBank genome assembly.
UUGGAGCAUUCCCUUGUAUGCAGUUCGGGAGUUUGGUGUUCUGCAGUAACUGUGCCUGUAUCUCUGGAAGGGGAAGAUCUUCUAAACGGCGGUUUAACCCUUUUAUGCAUGGGGGUGCUGUUACACAUGGUGACCACAGGUAACAGGGAAUCAGGGUUCGAUUCCUGAGAGGGAGCCUGAGAAACGGCUACCAUAUGCAAGGAAGGCAGCGGGUGCGCAAGUGACCCACUCCCGACGCGGCAUGGUAGUGACGA